GACGAACGCUGGCGGCGUGCCUAAUACAUGCAAGUAGAACGCACAGUUUAUACCGUAGCUUGCUACACCAUAGACUGUGAGUUGCGAACGGGUGAGUAACGCGUAGGUAACCUGCCUGGUAGCGGGGGAUAACUAUUGGAAACGAUAGCUAAUACCGCAUAAUAUUAAUUAUUGCAUGAUAAUUAAUUGAAAGGUGCAAUUGCACCACUACCAGAUGGACCUGCGUUGUAUUAGCUAGUAGGUGAGGUAACGGCUCACCUAGGCGACGAUACAUAGCCGACCUGAGAGGGUGGUCGGCCACACUGGGACUGAGACACGGCCCAGACUCCUACGGGAGGCAGCAGUAGGGAAUCUUCGGCAAUGGACGAAAGUCUGACCGAGCAACGCCGCGUGAGUGAAGAAGGUUUUCGGAUCGUAAAGCUCUGUUGUAAGAGAAGAACGGGUGUGAGAGUGGAAAGUUCACAGUGUGACGGUAUCUUACCAGAAAGGGGCGGCUAACUACGUG
RNAcentral lists this ribosomal RNA (505 nucleotides) under uncultured bacterium. RNAcentral's name for it is "partial 16S ribosomal RNA". It matches the Rfam family "Bacterial small subunit ribosomal RNA", at positions 28 to 507 of the family's 1533-position model. The record is from RNAcentral.